RNA transcript from Mandrillus leucophaeus (drill), 1847 nucleotides. It is a transcript of the gene named ADP-ribosylation factor-like 6, with no coding region annotated. NCBI's taxonomy places the organism in Eukaryota, Metazoa, Chordata, Mammalia, Primates, Cercopithecidae. The record is from RefSeq and is a predicted model, not a curated record. The transcript has 10 exons.
CGCGCCUACAACUCCCAUCAUGCUACGCCGGGAACUGCACGGCUCCUCGCAGGAAAUAGGCAGCUCACCCUGCCACCUGUGCACACAUUUUUCUUCAAUGUAUAGUUCCUCGGCGCGCCUCUGGCUGUUUCCCGGAGCUCUUCAAUCCCAGAAGCUACAGCACAACGGCCGAAUCGCCAAGACCCCCGGGGAGGCGUGGCUUCAGCCGGAAGAAGCUCCUGUUGCCAAGGGAACGGUGCCUGCCAAGGCGCCUGCUCAGCUACUGAUGCACAGGCUGCUGCAGAGGCUACCGGUUUUCCCAACUUGUAGAGACGGCUUUGCUCAUUACCAGGCAUCCUUCCCAUGUAGGCGUAGAGAAGAAGGCUGAGGGACCCUCGCACCAGAUUUCCAUCCCAGAGACCGAUACGAGUGGGUCCAUUCCUGUUACCAGCUCCUACGCCUUCCGGACUAACCUCAAAAACCAGAAAAACUGCCUCCUCUUCUAAAUUGUGUGCCCCAAAAUAUUUCAGUAACAAGUAUCAAGUGAUAAUCCAUGGAAAAGUGAUGGAAAGUCACAAUACAAGGUGGUUUGUAAAUAUUUGAAUUACGUUAUGGGAUUGCUAGACAGACUUUCAGUCUUGCUUGGCCUGAAGAAGAAAGAGGUUCACGUUUUGUGCCUUGGGCUAGACAAUAGUGGCAAAACAACUAUCAUUAACAAACUGAAACCUUCAAAUGCUCAAUCUCAAAAUAUCCUUCCAACAAUAGGAUUCAGCAUAGAGAAAUUCAAAUCAUCCAGUUUAUCAUUUACAGUGUUUGACAUGUCAGGUCAAGGAAGAUACAGAAAUCUCUGGGAACACUAUUAUAAAGAAGGUCAAGCUAUUAUUUUUGUCGUUGAUAGUAGUGAUAGAUUAAGAAUGGUUGUGGCCAAAGAAGAACUCGAUACUCUUCUGAAUCAUCCAGAUAUCAAACACCGUCGAAUUCCAAUCUUAUUCUUUGCAAAUAAAAUGGAUCUUAGAGAUGCAGUGACAUCUGUAAAAGUGUCUCAGUUGCUGUGUUUAGAGAACAUCAAAGAUAAACCCUGGCAUAUUUGUGCUAGUGAUGCCAUAAAAGGAGAAGGAUUGCAAGAAGGUGUAGACUGGCUUCAAGAUCAGAUCCAGACUGUGAAGACAUGAAAAGAUAAUAGUUGGAAACCUCUGCAAUUUUCAAUUCAAGGAAUCUAUCUAAGGCAAACAGAAUACUUUACAUUUUGUAAAAGAUGUUUAUGCAUCAAAAAAUAUAAUUUUCUGCUUGCAUUUAUGGACUCUGAAUGACCUUUUUAAGAACAUAGGACUUCAGGUUGCUAUAACAAAGUACCAUAGACUGGGUGGCUUAUAAACAACAGAAAUUUAUUUCUUACAGCUCUGGAGCUGGAAGUCUGAGAUCAGAUUGCCAGCAUGGUUGGGUUCUGGUGAGAGCCGUCUUGGUUGCAGACUGCCAUCUUCUUGUAUCCUCACAUGGCAAAAGGAGGGCAAGAGAACUCUCUGGAGUCUGUUUGAUAAGAGCAUGAAUCCCAUUACAUCUUCACAUGGCUCCUCCCAAAGACCCCACCUCCUAAUAUCAUCACAUAUCAUCACAUAGGGGUUAGAAUUUCAACACAGAAAUUUUGGGAGAACACAGACAUUCGGUCAGUUGCAAUACUUAAGGCAAAUUCAUCUUGCUUAUAACUCUGGUGCAUUAAAAUACUAUUGCAUCUUAACCGAGUUUGUACUUAUUUUCUGCUUUCUGAUUAUUCCCUUUGUUCAUAAAAAUAAAUGACUGGUAUUACAUGGUCACCUAAAUAAAUAGGUUUGUGUAUGUCUGUGACUAGAAAGAAAUACUAUAGUGAUUAA